This is a long non-coding RNA of Mus musculus (house mouse), 1756 nucleotides long. RefSeq annotates it as RIKEN cDNA 4930518C04 gene. Lineage: Eukaryota; Metazoa; Chordata; Mammalia; Rodentia; Muridae. The transcript is spliced from 2 exons. The record is from RefSeq and is a predicted model, not a curated record.
AUACUUUUCAUUAACAAGAAGUUGCCCAAUAGAUGAAACCACACUCAUUUCCCCUAAGCCUCACACCCCUCCUGCGCCUGGAUGCAGUGUCAGGGUAACAGGCUGCUGCUUCCCACCAGACUCUCACACCACAGAGAUGCCUUCAGCUACUUAAAUCCUUCACACUGAGAAGAGAAAGGACUCUCGCUGGCCCCUCAAGUGUGAAAGUUUGAUUCAGCCCGCGCUGCUAAAAUCUCUAUCAGUUAUAACGUAAAUGCAAUUUAAUGAGAUUUCCUGCAUCACUACUUCAUUUUGUAAAAGAUUAAGCACCUUUCACAUGAGAAGAAUAUUUUGACGAUAUUUGCUGGAGACGAAGAGAAGGAAAGUGACUUGUGUGGGCAUGUCUAUGGUGAAGCUGUAAAGUCGGAGACUAACCAGGGUUGCCGCUUGCAAAGGCCAUUUGUUCUUUCUCCUCAGAGCAGUAAAAGCAGCUGAGAAAAUGGGAGUCCGGCAUUUCUAGAGGGUUGUCAUAGCGACAGGAGUUUGGUACAAUACUGUCUAUUUACUCGUCCCGACUCUUGGUUACCUCCCUCGUGACCCCGUGGAGCCUGAGGCUGAUCUGAGGCCCCUGUUCACAAGGGAAGUCAUGAGGAACGUGUAUGCUGUUUUCAAAGCCUUCCCUACCUCCACCAUUCUCCUUCGACUCGACAGGAAUAAUGUGUUUAUGAUGAGAAACGACUGUCCUGCUUUCUAGAGCUUGACUCUGUUCCAGACCAUUGCUUUUUGUACACAAAGUGCCUCCCGCUAUCAGAGAGUGGAGAUAUUUGCUCUGGACUACUUUAUCAUCUUCAAACCGUCACUGGCAGAAAUGUGUGUGUGAGGUCAGCGCAUUCAUUCCACCAGCACCAGAAGCUAGCGCGUAUCUGCGGCUGUAAAUAAACAAGGGGCACGAUGUUAGAAAAAAAAAUGUUGGGGUUCUGACCUGCGCAAAGUCGACUGGAAUGUUUCCCUAGUAUUUAUCCUCUGCUUUUCCAAGCUUUGUAUAAACAUGAAUUUCCAGAAUUUUUUAAGAACUGACGCUGAUGAAAAAAAUUCAGUCUUCUAAUGAGUUUGUAAAACACAUCAGAUUUAAUUGUUGAAUACUAUAAAAACAACAACAACAACAAUAACAACAACAAUGUGAACAGAAAGAAAAGGUGCAUGUGCGUAUUGAAGCAGCUUCAAAAAGAACUUUUCAUUUUUUUUGUUAUUUUUCAUCAUCAAUACUAGAACAAAGACAUAUUUUAUAUGCAUAUUUAAAGAGUUGAAGUAGACGCUUACACUGCAAGAAGCUUAAAUUCCAGACUUACUCAAAAGAUGAGGAGUGUUGGAUGUAAGAUAUGAAUACCAAAGAUUCUGGAACAGUCCAAGGCCCUGCUGACAUUUUCUUGGUAAAGGAGGAAGAUUGACAGUGAGCAUAGCUCAGUUGUGAGUGUGUGACACUCAGUCACACAGGAUCAGCUGAGCAGAUACAUCAGGGAGGUGACAAGACUUGUAGGAUUGUCACCACAUUUUAGGCAUCCAUUACAUAUCUUGGAUAUUAACUCUUUCUUAGAUAUGAGGAUUGCAAAUAGCUUCUCCCUCCCCCUCGAGUUUCUUGCCAUUCUGUAGAUCAUUCUGGUUGCUAUGCAAAAAGUAUUUUUGCUGCUGUUAUUUUUUAUGAUACAACCCACUUACCUAUUUUGUUGCUUCCAUUACCCAUUCUUAUGAUAUUUUAUUAAAGAGACCAUCACCAAGA